This 253-nucleotide ribosomal RNA is filed under the name uncultured bacterium. Its description in RNAcentral is "partial 16S ribosomal RNA". It matches the Rfam family "Bacterial small subunit ribosomal RNA", at positions 524 to 776 of the family's 1533-position model. The record is from RNAcentral.
UACAGAGGGGGCAAGCGUUAUUCGGAAUUAUUGGGCGUAAAGGGCGCGUAGGCGGCUUGGCAAGUGGAAGGUGAAAUCCCUCGGCUUAACCGAGGAACUGCCCUCCAAACUGCUUUGCUUGAGGCCGGGAGAGGUGAGUGGAAUUCCCAGUGUAGCGGUGAAAUGCGUAGAUAUUGGGAGGAACACCUAUGGCGAAGGCAGCUCGCUGGGACGUUACUGACGCUGAGACGCGAAAGCGUGGGGAGCAAACAGG